This 252-nucleotide ribosomal RNA is filed under the name uncultured bacterium. RNAcentral describes it as "partial 16S ribosomal RNA". It matches the Rfam family "Bacterial small subunit ribosomal RNA", at positions 524 to 776 of the family's 1533-position model. The record is from RNAcentral.
UACGUAGGGGGCAAGCGUUGUCCGGAAUCAUUGGCGUAAAGCGCGUGUAGGCGGCCCGGUAAGUCCGCUGUGAAAGUCGGGGGCUCAACCCUCGAAUGCCGGUGGAUACUGUCGGGCUAGAGUGCGGAAGAGGCGAGUGGAAUUCCUGGUGUAGCGGUGAAAUGCGCAGAUAUCAGGAGGAACACCAAUUGCGAAGGCAGCUCGCUGGGACGUGACUGACGCUGAGACGCGAAAGCGUGGGGAGCAAACAGG